This 253-nucleotide ribosomal RNA is filed under the name uncultured bacterium. Its description in RNAcentral is "partial 16S ribosomal RNA". It matches the Rfam family "Bacterial small subunit ribosomal RNA", at positions 524 to 776 of the family's 1533-position model. The record is from RNAcentral.
UACGUAGGUGGCAAGCGUUAUCCGGAAUUAUUGGGCGUAAAGAGCGCGCAGGCGGUUGCUUAAGUCUGAUGUGAAAGCCCACGGCUUAACCGUGGAGGGUCAUUGGAAACUGGUCAGCUUGAGUGCAGAAGAGGGAAGUGGAAUUCCAUGUGUAGCGGUGAAAUGCGUAGAGAUAUGGAGGAACACCAGUGGCGAAGGCGGCUUCCUGGUCUGUAACUGACACUGAGGCGCGAAAGCGUGGGGAGCAAACAGG